Molecule: unclassified non-coding RNA, 336 nt
Filed under: soil metagenome
Description: partial contains 5.8S ribosomal RNA, internal transcribed spacer 2, and large subunit ribosomal RNA
Rfam family: 5.8S ribosomal RNA (bases 1-120)
Source: RNAcentral
GAUGAAGAACGUAGCGAAAUGCGAUAAGUAAUGUGAAUUGCAGAAUUCCGUGAAUCAUCGAAUCUUUGAACGCACAUUGCGCCCCCUGGUAUUCCGGGGGGCAUGCCUGUCCGAGCGUCAUUGCAACCUUCAAGCGCGGCUUGUGUGUUGGGUCUCGUCCCCGGUGGACGGGCCCGAAAGGCAGUGGCGGCGUCCCGACAUGGUGCCCGAGCGUAUGGGAAUCCUCUUCCGCUCGAAUCGGCCCAUGCGGCGCUGGUCGUAACCAAAUUUUUUACCGGUUGACCUCGGAUCAGGUAGGGAUACCCGCUGAACUUAAGCAUAUCAAUAAGCGGAGGA